GACGAACGCUGGCGGCGUGCUUAACACAUGCAAGUCGAACGGAGUGGCGAACGGGUGAGUAACACGUGGGUGAUCUGCCUUGCACUUCGGGAUAAGCUUGGGAAACUGGGUCUAAUACCGGCUAGUGCAAGAUGUGCUCGCGGCCAAUCUGCUUGUUGGGGGGGUAAUGGCCGACCAAGGCGUCGACGGGUAGCCGGCCUUGGAGCGUGUACGGGGACAUGGGGCCUGAGAUACGGACCAGACUCCAACGGGAGGCAGCGGUGGGGAGUAUUGCGCAAUGGGCGGAAGCGUGAGGAGGAGACGCUGGGUGUGGGAAGAAGGCCUUCGGGUGGUAAACUCCUUUCGACAGGGACGCGGUACCUGUAGAAGAAGCACCGGCUAACUACGUGCCAGCAGCCGCGGUAAUAC
This 408-nucleotide ribosomal RNA is filed under the name uncultured bacterium. RNAcentral describes it as "partial 16S ribosomal RNA". It matches the Rfam family "Bacterial small subunit ribosomal RNA", at positions 28 to 526 of the family's 1533-position model. The record is from RNAcentral.